This 503-nucleotide ribosomal RNA is filed under the name uncultured bacterium. RNAcentral's name for it is "bacterial SSU rRNA". It matches the Rfam family "Bacterial small subunit ribosomal RNA", at positions 29 to 524 of the family's 1533-position model. The record is from RNAcentral.
AUUGAACGCUGGCGGCAUGCCUUACACAUGCAAGUCGAACGGUAACGCGGGGCAACCUGGCGACGAGUGGCGAACGGGUGAGUAAUACAUCGGAACGUGCCCAGUAGUGGGGGAUAGCCCGGCGAAAGCCGGAUUAAUACCGCAUACGACCUACGGGUGAAAGCAGGGGAUCGCAAGACCUUGCGCCAUUGGAGCGGCCGAUGUCAGAUUAGGUUGUUGGUGGGGUAAAGGCCUACCAAGCCGACGAUCUGUAGCUGGUCUGAGAGGACGACCAGCCACACUGGGACUGAGACACGGCCCAGACUCCUACGGGAGGCAGCAGUGGGGAAUUUUGGACAAUGGGCGCAAGCCUGAUCCAGCCAUGCCGCGUGCGGGAAGAAGGGCCCUUCGGGUUGGUAAACCGCCUUUUGUCAGGGAAGAAACGCUCCGGGCUAAUACCUCGGGGUAAUGACGGUACCUGAAGAAUAAGCACCGGCUAACUACGUGCCAGCAGCCGCGGUAAU